RNAcentral lists this unclassified non-coding RNA (398 nucleotides) under fungal sp. RNAcentral describes it as "partial internal transcribed spacer region". The stretch from base 1 to 46 matches the Rfam family "Eukaryotic small subunit ribosomal RNA", at positions 1786 to 1831 of the family's 1831-position model. The record is from RNAcentral. Lineage: Eukaryota; Fungi.
AAGUCGUAACAAGGUUUCCGUAGGUGAACCUGCGGAAGGAUCAUUAACACUUUCUUUCAAUACCAACCUUGGCGCUCCCUGCUUGGCCUUCGGCUACGUCUCGAAGGUGCUCUUAUUUCGAUAAGACUCGUGGGGAAAAUAUAUGAGUCUGAUUGGGUUAAGGUCAUUGGAUCGGGCUGAAUCUCUUCGGGGAUUGGUUCAGUGACUUCUGCUUCGAGCAGAGACUUAGCUCUUUUGGAUAUCAGCCCCAACCCGGCUGGCCCUUUUUUUUUUAACUUGCUAGAUUGUACUGAUUUGGGCUUUUCAGAUUGAGAGGAGCAAUCCUUUCUCUGGAGUCCUUAUGGAGAAAUCCAUUAAAUAACAAAACACAACUCUUAACAGCGGAUAUCUCGGUUCUC